CUUUGUACCAUGCCUUUUCUUUUCUUUUUACUUUUAGCUAUCUAAACUAUGCAGUGUUGUUUUUACUCGUUAAAAAAGAAAGAUUUAUUUACUGUGUUAAAAUUUUCCUUCCAUACUAUGAAGUGUGUCAGCAACAACAUGCAUGUAACAUGACGACUGUGAAUCUGAAAAGGGAUCUAGUCACAGAAAAGCCACAGCCUAGGUCUGGUGUCUCCUUUUGCUAGUCUUCAGUCAUGAACAUGCGGUUUCUCUGCUGUGUAGCCCUUUAUCUCCUGCUAGCAGGCUCUUUGGAUUGCCAAGUUAUCCAAACUCCACAGCAUCUGCUCAGAGGAAAAGGACAGAAAGCAAAAAUGACCUGUAUUGCUGAAAAGGGACAUACUUUUGUUUAUUGGUACCAACAGAAGCAGAACAAAGAGUUAAAAUUUUUGAUUUAUUUUCAACGUCAAGAACCUCGUGACAGUAUAGACUUGGUCAAGGAGCGAUUCUUAGCUGAGUGUCCCUUAAACUCUCCCUGCAGCCUGGAAAUACAGUCCUCUGAGGCAGGAGACUCAGCAUUAUACCUCUGUGCCAGCAGUCUGUCCACAGCACUGAAAUGUGUAUUGUUCUUAGCACACAAACUCUCCAUGGAGCCAACUCAGGAAGCAGGUGACACUCUGGGUUGGAAGGAAGGAAGAGAAAUGAACGGGAGCCAGUGCAAACCACAGCAGAUUUCACACAAGUCAAGAAUGUGUCUAGAAGUAGAGUGA
Rattus norvegicus (Norway rat) is the source of this 746-nucleotide non-coding RNA. The record is from the annotation of a RefSeq genome assembly. NCBI's taxonomy places the organism in Eukaryota, Metazoa, Chordata, Mammalia, Rodentia, Muridae.